RNAcentral lists this ribosomal RNA (2550 nucleotides) under Escherichia coli KTE135. Its description in RNAcentral is "bacterial LSU rRNA". It matches the Rfam family "Bacterial large subunit ribosomal RNA", at positions 397 to 2925 of the family's 2925-position model. The record is from RNAcentral. Lineage: Bacteria; Pseudomonadati; Pseudomonadota; Gammaproteobacteria; Enterobacterales; Enterobacteriaceae.
CUGUGAGCUCGAUGAGUAGGGCGGGACACGUGGUAUCCUGUCUGAAUAUGGGGGGACCAUCCUCCAAGGCUAAAUACUCCUGACUGACCGAUAGUGAACCAGUACCGUGAGGGAAAGGCGAAAAGAACCCCGGCGAGGGGAGUGAAAAAGAACCUGAAACCGUGUACGUACAAGCAGUGGGAGCACAGAGCAAUCUGUGUGACUGCGUACCUUUUGUAUAAUGGGUCAGCGACUUAUAUUCUGUAGCAAGGUUAACCGAAUAGGGGAGCCGAAGGGAAACCGAGUCUUAACUGGGCGUUAAGUUGCAGGGUAUAGACCCGAAACCCGGUGAUCUAGCCAUGGGCAGGUUGAAGGUUGGGUAACACUAACUGGAGGACCGAACCGACUAAUGUUGAAAAAUUAGCGGAUGACUUGUGGCUGGGGGUGAAAGGCCAAUCAAACCGGGAGAUAGCUGGUUCUCCCCGAAAGCUAUUUAGGUAGCGCCUCGUGAAUUCAUCUCCGGGGGUAGAGCACUGUUUCGGCAAGGGGGUCAUCCCGACUUACCAACCCGAUGCAAACUGCGAAUACCGGAGAAUGUUAUCACGGGAGACACACGGCGGGUGCUAACGUCCGCCGUGAAGAGGGAAACAACCCAGACCGCCAGCUAAGGUCCCAAAGUCAUGGUUAAGUGGGAAACGAUGUGGGAAGGCCCAGACAGCCAGGAUGUUGGCUUAGAAGCAGCCAUCAUUUAAAGAAAGCGUAAUAGCUCACUGGUCGAGUCGGCCUGCGCGGAAGAUGUAACGGGGCUAAACCAUGCACCGAAGCUGCGGCAGCGACGCUUAUGCGUUGUUGGGUAGGGGAGCGUUCUGUAAGCCUGCGAAGGUGUGCUGUGAGGCAUGCUGGAGGUAUCAGAAGUGCGAAUGCUGACAUAAGUAACGAUAAAGCGGGUGAAAAGCCCGCUCGCCGGAAGACCAAGGGUUCCUGUCCAACGUUAAUCGGGGCAGGGUGAGUCGACCCCUAAGGCGAGGCCGAAAGGCGUAGUCGAUGGGAAACAGGUUAAUAUUCCUGUACUUGGUGUUACUGCGAAGGGGGGACGGAGAAGGCUAUGUUGGCCGGGCGACGGUUGUCCCGGUUUAAGCGUGUAGGCUGGUUUUCCAGGCAAAUCCGGAAAAUCAAGGCUGAGGCGUGAUGACGAGGCACUACGGUGCUGAAGCAACAAAUGCCCUGCUUCCAGGAAAAGCCUCUAAGCAUCAGGUAACAUCAAAUCGUACCCCAAACCGACACAGGUGGUCAGGUAGAGAAUACCAAGGCGCUUGAGAGAACUCGGGUGAAGGAACUAGGCAAAAUGGUGCCGUAACUUCGGGAGAAGGCACGCUGAUAUGUAGGUGAAGUCCCUCGCGGAUGGAGCUGAAAUCAGUCGAAGAUACCAGCUGGCUGCAACUGUUUAUUAAAAACACAGCACUGUGCAAACACGAAAGUGGACGUAUACGGUGUGACGCCUGCCCGGUGCCGGAAGGUUAAUUGAUGGGGUUAGCGCAAGCGAAGCUCUUGAUCGAAGCCCCGGUAAACGGCGGCCGUAACUAUAACGGUCCUAAGGUAGCGAAAUUCCUUGUCGGGUAAGUUCCGACCUGCACGAAUGGCGUAAUGAUGGCCAGGCUGUCUCCACCCGAGACUCAGUGAAAUUGAACUCGCUGUGAAGAUGCAGUGUACCCGCGGCAAGACGGAAAGACCCCGUGAACCUUUACUAUAGCUUGACACUGAACAUUGAGCCUUGAUGUGUAGGAUAGGUGGGAGGCUUUGAAGUGUGGACGCCAGUCUGCAUGGAGCCGACCUUGAAAUACCACCCUUUAAUGUUUGAUGUUCUAACGUUGACCCGUAAUCCGGGUUGCGGACAGUGUCUGGUGGGUAGUUUGACUGGGGCGGUCUCCUCCUAAAGAGUAACGGAGGAGCACGAAGGUUGGCUAAUCCUGGUCGGACAUCAGGAGGUUAGUGCAAUGGCAUAAGCCAGCUUGACUGCGAGCGUGACGGCGCGAGCAGGUGCGAAAGCAGGUCAUAGUGAUCCGGUGGUUCUGAAUGGAAGGGCCAUCGCUCAACGGAUAAAAGGUACUCCGGGGAUAACAGGCUGAUACCGCCCAAGAGUUCAUAUCGACGGCGGUGUUUGGCACCUCGAUGUCGGCUCAUCACAUCCUGGGGCUGAAGUAGGUCCCAAGGGUAUGGCUGUUCGCCAUUUAAAGUGGUACGCGAGCUGGGUUUAGAACGUCGUGAGACAGUUCGGUCCCUAUCUGCCGUGGGCGCUGGAGAACUGAGGGGGGCUGCUCCUAGUACGAGAGGACCGGAGUGGACGCAUCACUGGUGUUCGGGUUGUCAUGCCAAUGGCACUGCCCGGUAGCUAAAUGCGGAAGAGAUAAGUGCUGAAAGCAUCUAAGCACGAAACUUGCCCCGAGAUGAGUUCUCCCUGACUCCUUGAGAGUCCUGAAGGAACGUUGAAGACGACGACGUUGAUAGGCCGGGUGUGUAAGCGCAGCGAUGCGUUGAGCUAACCGGUACUAAUGAACCGUGAGGCUUAACCUU